CAGCAGUGGGGAAUAUUGGGCAAUGGGGGAAACCCUGACCCAGCGACGCCGCGUGAGGGAAGAAGGUUUUCGGAUUGUAAACCUCUGUCCUUGGUGACGAUAAUGACGGUAGCCAAGGAGGAAGCCACGGCUAACUACGUGCCAGCAGCCGCGGUAAUACGUAGGUGGCGAGCGUUGUCCGGAAUUACUGGGUGUAAAGGGAGCGUAGGCGGGAGAGCAAGUCGACUGUGAAAUCUAUGGGCUUAACCCAUAGCUGCGAUCGAAACUGUUCAUCUUGAGUGAAGUAGAGGCAGGCGGAAUUCCUAGUGUAGCGGUGAAAUGCGUAAAUAUUAGGAGGAACACCAGUGGCGAAGGCGGCCUGCUGGGCUUUAACUGACGCUGAGGCUCGAAAGCGUGGGUAGCAAACAGGAUUAGA
RNAcentral lists this ribosomal RNA (415 nucleotides) under uncultured Clostridium sp. RNAcentral's name for it is "bacterial SSU rRNA". It matches the Rfam family "Bacterial small subunit ribosomal RNA", at positions 349 to 782 of the family's 1533-position model. Lineage: Bacteria; Bacillati; Bacillota; Clostridia; Eubacteriales; Clostridiaceae. The record is from RNAcentral.